UGAGUAAUGCGUAGGAAUCUACCUAGUAGUAUGGAAUAGCCAUUAGAAAUGAUGGGUAAUACUGUAUAAUCCCUGCGGGGGAAAGAUUUAUCGCUAUUAGAUGAGCCUACGUUAGAUUAGCUAGUUGGUUAGGUAAUGGCUUACCAAGGCUAUGAUCUAUAGCUGGUCUGAGAGGACGAUCAGCCACACUGGAACUGAGAUACGGUCCAGACUCCUACGGGAGGCAGCAGUGGGGAAUAUUGGACAAUGGGCGAAAGCCUGAUCCAGCUAUGCCGCGUGAGUGAAGAAGGCCUUCGGGUUGUAUAGCUCUUUCAAUAGGGAAGAUAA
RNAcentral lists this ribosomal RNA (327 nucleotides) under Ehrlichia sp. Its description in RNAcentral is "bacterial SSU rRNA". It matches the Rfam family "Bacterial small subunit ribosomal RNA", at positions 107 to 451 of the family's 1533-position model. Lineage: Bacteria; Pseudomonadati; Pseudomonadota; Alphaproteobacteria; Rickettsiales; Anaplasmataceae. The record is from RNAcentral.